GUUAGGAAUAUUGGACAAUGGGCGCAAGCCUGAUCCAGCCAUGCCGCGUGAACGAUGAAGGCCUUCGGGUUGUAAAGUUCUUUAGCCGAUGAUUAUAAUGACUGUAGUCGGAAAAUAAGCCCCGGCUAACUUCGUGCCAGCAGCCGCGGUAAUACGAAGGGGGCGAGCGUUAUUCGGAAUCACUGGGCGUAAAGCGUGCGUAGGCGGUUUUGUAAGUUAGGAGUGAAAGCCCAGGGCUCAACCUUGGAAUUGCUCUUAAAACUGCAAGGCUCGAAUCUCGGAGAGGAUAGCGGAAUUUCCAGUGUAGCAGUGAAAUGCGUAGAUAUUGGAAGGAACACCAGUGGCGUAAGCGGCUAUCUGGACGAGUAUUGACGCUGAGGCACGAAAGCGUGGGGAUCAAACAGGAUUAGAAACCCCGGUAGUCC
RNAcentral lists this ribosomal RNA (425 nucleotides) under uncultured bacterium. Its description in RNAcentral is "partial 16S ribosomal RNA". It matches the Rfam family "Bacterial small subunit ribosomal RNA", at positions 354 to 796 of the family's 1533-position model. The record is from RNAcentral.